Molecule: ribosomal RNA, 449 nt
Filed under: uncultured bacterium
Lineage: Bacteria
Description: partial 16S ribosomal RNA
Rfam family: Bacterial small subunit ribosomal RNA
Source: RNAcentral
AGCGAACGCUGGCAGCAGGCCUAACACAUGCAAGUCGAACGGAACCUUCGGGAUUAGUGGCGGACGGGUGAGUAACACGUGGGAACGUGCCCUUUGGUUCGGAACAACUCAGGGAAACUUGAGCUAAUACCGGAUGUGCCCUCCGGGGGCAAGAUUUAUCGCCAUUGGAGCGGCCCGCGUCUGAUUAGCUAGUUGGUGAGGUAAAGGCUCACCAAGGCGACGAUCAGUAGCUGGUCUGAGAGGAUGAUCAGCCACAUUGGGACUGAGACACGGCCCAAACUCCUACGGGAGGCAGCAGUGGGGAAUCUUGCGCAAUGGGCGAAAGCCUGACGCAGCCAUGCCGCGUGAAUGAUGAAGGUCUUAGGAUUGUAAAAUUCUUUCACCGGGGACGAUAAUGACGGUACCCGGAGAAGAAGCCCCGGCUAACUUCGUGCCAGCCGCCGCCGUAA